CCUACGGGAGGCAGCAGUGGGGAAUAGUGCACAAUGGGGGAAACCCUGAUGCAGCGACGCCGCGUGAAGGAAGAAGGAUUUCGGUAUGUAAACUUCUAUCAGCAGGGAAGAAAAUGACGGUACCUGACUAAGAAGCCCCGGCUAACGACGUGCCAGCAGCCGCGGGAAUACGUAGGGGGAAAGCGUUAUCCGGAUUUACUGGGUGUAAAGGGAGCGUAGGCGGCGAUGCAAGUCAGAAGUGAAAGCCCGGGGCUCAACUCCGGGACUGCUUUUGAAACUGUCUGGCUAGCUUGCAGGAGAGGCAAGUGGAAUUCCUCGUGUAGCGGUGAAAUGCGUAGAUAUUAGGAGGAACCCCAGUGGCGAAGGCGGCUUGCUGGACUGUACCUGACGCUGAGGCUCGAAAGCGUGGGGAGCAAACAGGAUUAGAUACCCUGGUAGUC
RNAcentral lists this ribosomal RNA (440 nucleotides) under uncultured bacterium. RNAcentral describes it as "partial 16S ribosomal RNA". It matches the Rfam family "Bacterial small subunit ribosomal RNA", at positions 338 to 795 of the family's 1533-position model. The record is from RNAcentral.